GACGAACGCUGGCGGCGUGCUUAACACAUGCAAGUCGAACGGAAAGGCCCUGCUUUUGUGGGGUGCUCGAGUGGCGAACGGGUGAGUAACACGUGAGUAACCUGCCCUUGACUUUGGGAUAACUUCAGGAAACUGGGGCUAAUACCGGAUAGGAGCUCCUGCUGCAUGGUGGGGGUUGGAAAGUUUCGGCGGUUGGGGAUGGACUCGCGGCUUAUCAGCUUGUUGGUGGGGUAGUGGCUUACCAAGGCUUUGACGGGUAGCCGGCCUGAGAGGGUGACCGGCCACAUUGGGACUGAGAUACGGCCCAGACUCCUACGGGAGGCAGCAGUGGGGAAUAUUGCACAAUGGGCGGAAGCCUGAUGCAGCAACGCCGCGUGCGGGAUGACGGCCUUCGGGUUGUAAACCGCUUUCGCCUGUGACGAAGCGUGAGUGACGGUAAUGGGUAAAGAAGCACCGGCUAACUACGUGCCAGCAGCCGCGGUGAUACGUAGGGUGCGAGCGUUGUCCGGAUUUAUUGGGCGUAAAGGGCUCGUAGGUGGUUGAUCGCGUCGGAAGUGUAAUCUUGGGGCUUAACCCUGAGCGUGCUUUCGAUACGGGUUGACUUGAGGAAGGUAGGGGAGAAUGGAAUUCCUGGUGGAGCGGUGGAAUGCGCAGAUAUCAGGAGGAACACCAGUGGCGAAGGCGGUUCUCUGGGCCUUUCCUGACGCUGAGGAGCGAAAGCGUGGGGAGCGAACAGGCUUAGAUACCCUGGUAGUCCACGCUGUAAACGGUGGGUACUAGGUGUGGGGUCCAUUCCACGGGUUCCGUGCCGUAGCUAACGCUUUAAGUACCCCGCCUGGGGAGUACGGCCGCAAGGCUAAAACUCAAAGGAAUUGACGGGGCCCCGCACAAGCGGCGGAGCAUGCGGAUUAAUUCGAUGCAACGCGUAGAACCUUACCUGGGUUUGACAUGGAUCGGGAGUGCUCAGAGAUGGGUGUGCCUCUUUUGGGGUCGGUUCACAGGUGGUGCAUGGCUGUCGUCAGCUCGUGUCGUGAGAUGUUGGGUUAAGUCCCGCAACGAGCGCAACCCUUGUUCACUGUUGCCAGCACGUUAUGGUGGGGACUCAGUGGAGACCGCCGGGGUCAACUCGGAGGAAGGUGGGGAUGACGUCAAGUCAUCAUGCCCCUUAUGUCCAGGGCUUCACGCAUGCUACAAUGGCUGGUACAGAGAGUGGCUAGCCUGUGAGGGUGAGCGAAUCUCGGAAAGUCGGUCUCAGUUCGGAUUGGGGUCUGCAACUCGACCUCAUGAAGUCGGAGUCGCUAGUAAUCGCAGAUCAGCAACGCUGCGGUGAAUACGUUCCCGGGGCU
RNAcentral lists this ribosomal RNA (1346 nucleotides) under uncultured bacterium. RNAcentral's name for it is "partial 16S ribosomal RNA". It matches the Rfam family "Bacterial small subunit ribosomal RNA", at positions 28 to 1381 of the family's 1533-position model. The record is from RNAcentral.